Alosa sapidissima (American shad) is the source of this 105-nucleotide long non-coding RNA. RefSeq lists it as uncharacterized. The record is from RefSeq and is a predicted model, not a curated record. The transcript has 3 exons. Lineage: Eukaryota; Metazoa; Chordata; Actinopteri; Clupeiformes; Clupeidae.
CUCUCCAUCGCAGACCUCAUAGGAAGGAAUGCACAUGCCAUCAUCGCAGCGGAACUCAGAAGAGGAACAGGUUGGUUCUACGUUGUGGCAGUUUCUCUCGUCGCU